Molecule: ribosomal RNA, 510 nt
Filed under: uncultured bacterium
Lineage: Bacteria
Description: partial 16S ribosomal RNA
Rfam family: Bacterial small subunit ribosomal RNA
Source: RNAcentral
GGCGAACGCUGGCGGCGUGCUUAACACAUGCAAGUCGAACGAAGAGCGAUGGAAGCUUGCUUCUAUCAAUCUUAGUGGCGAACGGGUGAGUAACGCGUAAUCAACCUGCCCUUCAGAGGGGGACAACAGUUGGAAACGACUGCUAAUACCGCAUACGAUCUAACCUCGGCAUCGAGGAUGGAUGAAAGGUGGCCUCUAUUUAUAAGCUAUCACUGAAGGAGGGGAUUGCGUCUGAUUAGCUAGUUGGAGGGGUAACGGCCCACCAAGGCGAUGAUCAGUAGCCGGUCUGGGAGGAUGAACGGCCACAUUGGGACUGAGACACGGCCCAGACUCCUACGGGAGGCAGCAGUGGGGAAUCUUCCGCAAUGGACGAAAGUCUGACGGAGCAACGCCGCGUGAGUGAUGACGGCCUUCGGGUUGUAAAGCUCUGUUAAUCGGGACGAAAGGCCUUCUUGCGAAUAGUUAGAAGGAUUGACGGUACCGGAAUAGAAAGCCACGGCUAACUACGUG